GAAAGAGCAUCUGAGUCCCUGCAGACAACUAGAGAAAGCCUUUCCACCAUGGGGGUCAUACGAGCAAGCUAGCAUUACAUCCAGAGUGCUCAAAGCAGUCUUUGUGCAGAGCAAGGUAUCCUCCAGGGAGCAAGUGAGGAACAGCUAUUCUGGGCUGCCCCCUUAUUUAGGAAAAGCAGCAUGAGAACCUGCAAAGAAGCACAAAUCUUCCUACACUUCUAGCUUGGAUUUGGAUGCUUGAGGAAGACUUUUGUUUCCUACAUGCACACAACUCUGAUGCUUGAGAUCUCAAAUGUCUGGCUGCCUUCUGACUAUGCUCAUCUUUUCCUAUGACUUUUCCUAAGUCCUCAAGGAAUUGCCAGCAGUUAAAAAUACAGAAAUCUGAAGCAUGGAAUCCUGCAGCCAUUAGAGCAUCUCUGAAUCCACCCAGGGAGGUCAGAUACCAGCCUGGGGGCUCCUUUCUAUCCUUUCUGCCCCUCUCUCCUGGUUGCAAGCCAAGCUGACUAUGCCUAUCCAGAAGAAGAAGUAUUUGGCGAGUGGUUUCUGAGUAUUGCUCUCAGCACUGAGACAGACACAGCCUGCCAAGCACAGCUUUGGACUCCGAGGGUUACAGGACUUGCCUCACCACAGGAGCCUGGGGACAAGGUGGCUGGCGUUUGGGCCCAUCCCUUUGCGUGACCUUGGAAAGAUUACCAUGCUUUUGAAUCUUUCUAAAAACGUGUUGGGCCCUCUGACCUGCUGUGAUUAAUUUUCAAAAACCAAAGCUACAAUUUAGACUAAAGUAAUGCUCCAUUUUUUAUCUCUGCAUCACAUGAACCACGUUGUGUUCAAAACCACCGAUCCGCUUCAGGGGACUGCUGCCCUGCGUCCCCUUAAACGGUGCAACCUAUAAACGGUGUAACGCUGCUUUGAUUUCUUUAUACACAGCGUUUCGGCCGUCACUAGUUAUGCCCAGCUGUGAGAUGAAUGUGUCAUUCUUGUUCUGUCAGAAUUACUGGCAUGCUGUUCCGCUUAUUUUGCUGAGCUGCAGGAGCUGCUGGGCAGUGCUGGAUCGUCUCCAACAGAGAUGAAAGGAAGUAUCAGUUCACUUAGGUACUAUGUGCACACUGGAGGCAAGCGGUCUGAAUUUAAGGUUUUUCUUUCUUUCGGCUUUGCCAGCCCUUGAAUUGAACCUGAUGUAUUCAGGAUCUCCUUCAAGAACCAAGUGGGACAGUGUGAUUGAGAAGGGCUGCCACAAUGUUCCAGGCUUUGAGGACAUCAUAAGGAUAACGACAAGCUUCAUCUCCAGAAAUGACAUGGACUGCGCAUGGCGUCCCUGCUGCUUCCAUGCCUAGUCCUCCACACUCAACACAUGGGGCUGACGGCUCUCAUCUGAACUCAAGAGACAGGGGAGAACUCAAGUUGCCUCUCAUGCCAUGUGCACAACUGCCCAUUUGCAAUCCAAACACUUCAUAUUUUCCAACUCUUUGGGAUUCAAACCCGAUUUCCUUGUUUACCAUCAGCUUUUAAGUUUCACACAACAAAAGUCAGCCCAUGUUGGGAAAAGUCUUGCCACCUGUGUCUCUGAGUCCCACAAUUUUCCAGGAGCACUUUUUGUUGCAGAUAAAUCUGUAAGUCUCUGACUUUACUAAUAAUUUCAACGCAUGAUUAGUAUAAUGAUGAAAAAAUAAAGUAGCAUAAGGACGUACAUUUUACCUCUAGUAAUUCCUCCAUCUGUCGAUAGGCCUAGCAGAGUGUGAUGCUCAUCCUCUACAGAUUUCAAAUUAAAAGUUUGCCAAGAUACUUAACGGAGUUAAAGGCAAAUCAAAUGCAGCAGCUUUAGGAAAUUACAGCAACCUCCCCAUUGUUUGACUUCCACAGUCUGUAUUUCAAGCCUUCCGAUUCUUAAGCAAAGCAAGAUUCAGCUUGGUAUUUUAACAGUAUGACAUUCAAAGCAUUAAUUAUGGGUGGGACAACUGGUCUCUUGAGGUCAGAGGGACAAUAGUGCAACUUGUUGAUACCCAGCAUUCUUUCAUAUAAUGUUAUGUGUGUUCAAGUACUUUUGAACUAGCAUUUAGGUCCCGGUUACAGAAAUCACUUAUAAAAUUUUCUUUAAACCUUCCAGUUGAUACGAAUGAAUAGCAAUAAAGUAUUUUACACAUUAAUGAAUAAGAGGUGGUUUAAGUUGUCCAAGAGUGAUAAGGAGAAAGUAAUGCCUUUUCCUACAUAGUUAAUGACUCAUGAAAUAGCAUAUGGAUGAAUUAGCAGUCACAAACAUACUGGUAGGUGAGCAGUUUCCUAAAUGUAAUAUUGAUUUUAAAGAUUAACAACAUUUUCAGAGCUUGUGUAUGGCCAAGAGUUUUCACCAGAUGUUCAAAUACCUAGC
This is a long non-coding RNA of Cuculus canorus (common cuckoo), 2365 nucleotides long. RefSeq lists it as uncharacterized. The transcript is spliced from 6 exons. NCBI's taxonomy places the organism in Eukaryota, Metazoa, Chordata, Aves, Cuculiformes, Cuculidae. The record is from RefSeq and is a predicted model, not a curated record.